AUCCAGUUGACGAGUCCCAAAUAGGACGAAAUGUGCGUCGUGGAU
This is a non-coding RNA of Schistosoma mattheei, 45 nucleotides long. Lineage: Eukaryota; Metazoa; Platyhelminthes; Trematoda; Strigeidida; Schistosomatidae. The record is from Rfam.